GGACUUUAUUUGCGCAGCAUAGGUGGGAGGCAUUGAGUUUAUUCUUGCGGGAAUUUAGGAGCCAUCAGUGAGAUACCACUCUGGUAAUGUUAGAUUUCUAACUUUGUAUCAUGAUCUGGUCAAAGAACAGUUUCAGGCGGGCAGUUUGACUGGGGCGGUCGCCUCCCAAAUGGUAACGGAGGCGUACAAAGGUUUCUUCUGAACGUGUAGAAAUCGUAUCUAGAGUGUAUAGGCAUAAGGAAGCUUGACUGUGAGACCUACAAGUCGAGCAGGGACGAAAGUCGGUCUUAGUGAUCUGACGGUGCUGAGUGGAAAGGCCGUCACUCAACGGAUAAAAGUUACUCCAGGGAUAACAGGCUGAA
Molecule: ribosomal RNA, 362 nt
Filed under: uncultured eukaryote
Lineage: Eukaryota
Description: LSU rRNA
Rfam family: Bacterial large subunit ribosomal RNA
Source: RNAcentral